UGGGGAAUAUUGGACAAUGGGGGGAACCCUGAUCCAGCCAUGCCGCGUGUGUGAAGAAGGCCUUAUGGUUGUAAAGCACUUUAAGCGAGGAGGAGGGUACUGGUAUUAAUACUACCAGGUACUGGACGUUACUCGCAGAAUAAGCACCGACUAACUCUGUGCCAGCAGCCGCGGUAAUACAGAGGGUGCGAGCGUUAAUCGGAUUUACUGGGCGUAAAGCGUGCGUAGGCGGCUAAUUGAGUCGGAUGUGAAAUCCCCGAGCUUAACUUGGGAAUUGCAUUCGAUACUGGUUAGCUAGAGUGUGGGAGAGGAUGGUAGAAUUCCAGGUGUAGCGGUGAAAUGCGUAGAGAUCUGGAGGAAUACCGAUGGCGAAGGCAGCCAUCUGGCCUAACACUGACGCUGAGGUACGAAAGCAUGGGGAGCAAACAGG
Molecule: ribosomal RNA, 430 nt
Filed under: Pseudomonadota bacterium
Lineage: Bacteria; Pseudomonadati; Pseudomonadota
Description: Proteobacteria bacterium partial 16S ribosomal RNA
Rfam family: Bacterial small subunit ribosomal RNA
Source: RNAcentral